This is a long non-coding RNA of Leopardus geoffroyi (Geoffroy's cat), 110 nucleotides long. RefSeq lists it as uncharacterized. Lineage: Eukaryota; Metazoa; Chordata; Mammalia; Carnivora; Felidae. The record is from RefSeq and is a predicted model, not a curated record. The transcript has 3 exons.
CGUGGGCUCUUCCGAAUUGACAACAUAUAAUGGUUUACUGCUGUCAUUGUCCAUGCCUACAGAUAAUUUAUUUUGUAUUUGUGAAUAAAAAGACAUUUGUACAUUCCUGA